Molecule: ribosomal RNA, 490 nt
Filed under: uncultured bacterium
Lineage: Bacteria
Description: partial 16S ribosomal RNA
Rfam family: Bacterial small subunit ribosomal RNA
Source: RNAcentral
AUUGAACGCUGGCGGCAGGCCUAACACAUGCAAGUCGAACGGUAACAGGAAGAAGCUUGCUUCUUUGCUGACGAGUGGCGGACGGGUGAGUAAUGUCUGGGAAACUGCCUGAUGGAGGGGGAUAACUACUGGAAACGGUAGCUAAUACCGCAUAACGUCGCAAGACCAAAAAGGGGGACCUUCGGGCCUCUUGCCAUCGGCUGUGCCCAGAUGGGAUUAGCUAGUAGGUGGGGUAACGGCUCACCUAGGCGACGAUCCCUAGCUGGUCUGAGAGGAUGACCAGCCACACUGGAACUGAGACACGGUCCAGACUCCUACGGGAGGCAGCAGUGGGGAAUAUUGCACAAUGGGCGCAAGCCUGAUGCAGCCAUGCCGCGUGUAUGAAGAAGGCCUUCGGGUUGUAAAGUACUUUCAGCGGGGAGGAAGGGAGUAAAGUUAAUACCUUCGCUCAUUGACGUUACCCGCAGAAGAAGCACCGGCUAACUCCGUG